AUUGAACGCUGGCGGCAGGCCUAACACAUGCAAGUCGAGCGGAUGAAGGGAGCUUGCUCCUGGAUUCAGCGGCGGACGGGUGAGUAAUGCCUAGGAAGCUGCCUGGUAGUGGGGGAUAACGUCCGGAAACGGGCGCGAAUACCGCAUACGUCCUGAGGGAGAAAGUGGGGGAUCUUCGGACCUCACGCUAUCAGAUGAGCCUAGGUCGGAUUAGCUAGUUGGUGGGGUAAAGGCCUACCAAGGCGACGAUCCGUAACUGGUCUGAGAGGAUGAUCAGUCACACUGGAACUGAGACACGGUCCAGACUCCUACGGGAGGCAGCAGUGGGGAAUAUUGGACAAUGGGCGAAAGCCUGAUCCAGCCAUGCCGCGUGUGUGAAGAAGGUCUUCGGAUUGUAAAGCACUUUAAGUUGGGAGGAAGGGCAGUAAGUUAAUACAUUGCUGUUUUGACGUUACCAACAGAAUAAGCACCGGCUAACUUCGUG
RNAcentral lists this ribosomal RNA (484 nucleotides) under uncultured bacterium. RNAcentral's name for it is "partial 16S ribosomal RNA". It matches the Rfam family "Bacterial small subunit ribosomal RNA", at positions 30 to 507 of the family's 1533-position model. The record is from RNAcentral.